Molecule: long non-coding RNA, 4585 nt
Organism: Brassica napus (rape)
Lineage: Eukaryota; Viridiplantae; Streptophyta; Magnoliopsida; Brassicales; Brassicaceae
Exons: 7
Source: RefSeq, a predicted model, not a curated record
CUUUUGUGUGUUUGAUAAGUGUGUUUAAAAUUUUCAUGUGAUUCUCCACUUAAUCAAAGAAGAAAGAUGGCCAUCCAGCAAAGCUACAAGUGUUAAAAUUAUUCAACUCCAUCUAGCAACUCCAAGCUAAGUGUCUCUACAACCAUUGUAAAUAUAUAGUUUUCAUGUUUGUUUCUUCUAGACCUCUUCUUUCACCUUGCUCUCACACAAGAGACUGUGUGAAGUAAGUGUGGGGGGGAGAGUCUACUUAUCUCACAUGUUUUCUGUUUUGUUUACUUGUCAUAAGCAUUGCAUAUCCAUUUGCAUAGAAAAUCCAUAAAAAUUUGCAAAACUCCAAAAAUUACAAAAAAAAACAUUUAGUUAUAUCAUUUGCAUCUUUAGGUUUGAGUCUAGAUCAUAUAUAAUGCAUAGGUAAAAUCCCUACAACUCAUGCAAUGAACUCAUUGUUGAUACCCUUUUGAAUCAUAAUAAGUAGCUUGAGCUUAUUCUGAAUUUCUUGUAGACUUCGAGCCUUGAAAACUCCUCUUAAGACUCAUUGAAUCUUACUCUUUGAAACCAACUCCGAUCUUAAUUGACUUAAAUGAACUUAAUGCUUCUUGCUUAUGGUCUCUUGAGUACUAAAUCAUGGCUUUACACACACUUGAGCUUGUAUAAACCAUUUUACCAAUCUUUUUGACAACUCAAGUGGUAGUCCAUACCCUAAACCCUUCCCUUCUUUCAAACCAUCAUUAAUUGUUGAGUGAGGUCUUUUUGUGAAAGCUUGUCAUGUGCAAAAUCUUGAGAGUAUUAGGAGCGACAUUGAUUUGUUCUCAUCUCUUGCUAGCAUUAGGACCUCUUUUGGGCUAGCAUCUAGGAUGGUGGUUGGAAUGAUGUGCUUUAAUUCUUUUGAUCUUGGGGAUUGAAUUGGGAAAGAUUAUGUAAAGGAAAUGAAUCAAAAAGUGUGUCUAAAACAACUAGGAACAAAAAAAAAAAGGAAGAUAGCUCAGAUUGUGUCAAUAAAAACCCCAAAAAGAAAAGAAGAAAAAAAAAAUAAGAGAAUGGGGAUAACAAAUUUUUGAGCUAAGAUACAUAGUUGUUAAGACAAAGAAAAGAAAAUAAAAGAGUGUUCAUUGGGUAAGAGAUGAAAAUGGGUGUAUAUUUGGGAUUUGAGAUGAAGAAAAGAAAGGGUAGAACUUAAAAAUUGUCUAGGAAAAGGGUACAAUGAUGAGAACCGAUUUAUGUAUGCAUUAAUUGCUCCUUUUCUUAGAUAAAUUUUGCAUAAUGAUCAAGCUCCUAUUCUUGAGUGUAAGUCACCAUUGCAAAAUGUAUUUGGACCCUUCUCAUUCUUCACAUUAAGCCAUUUUUUCUCACCAAACCAAAUGAUUUAGACCAAUUGGCAAUUUGCGAGAAUUCACUUAUGAUAUUUCUUAUUGAAUGUGAGAGUUGGUUGAUUUGAAGAUUCAUGAUAAUGAGUUAAAAGAGCAAAGGAAUUGAUAGGCCUAGAGAAGUUAGAGCUAAUAAAAACAUCUUGCUCUUGCUAUUUGGUAUGAUUUUGUAAGGAUAUCACAACAAUGGCAUUGAAGAGUUUCUUAAGGUCAUGAAUUUCCAUUUGUGUAUUGAAACAUCACUUCCUAUGUUCUUGAAAGUUUACUUAAGGACAAGUAAAGGACUAGUGUGGGGGAGUUGAUGUGUUGUGAUUUUGCAUAGUUUUAGCUUUGUUAUUUCAUAUAUAUUCAUGCAUUAACCUUACAUUUAUUUGCAUUUAGAGUCUAUUGCAUGUACAUUUGCAUCUUGUAGGUGUUGGAUGAAUUGUUUGGAGUUUUGGAGGUGAUUAGAGCACAAAAGGAGCUCUCGAGGAGUCUUGAACCGAACGUGUGAAAGACAAGCAUGGAUGAAGGUCUUAAAGAUAUCUUUUGAAACUUGUCUUUUGGGAAGACAUGGUAAAUUGAGUUAGCUUUACAAUGGAGGUGGUUUCAAGUCGUUUGGAGCUGUAUUGAGGGAUUUAUGAUCAAAAUACUACACACAUAUCAGUGUGUGCAACAUGGAGAAAGUGGAGAAAACUUUAAUGAGUGAGUUUUAUCUCUUUAAAGCUUGCAACAUGGGGGAUGGGUUGUCUAUCAUGAGUUUGGUGGCUCUUUUGGCCUAACUUUCUCUACCUUUUCCGAAGAGGCAAGACUACUUUGGCCAUAUGAAGGGGCAAAAGGUGUUCUAUAAUGGAAGAAAGUGGAGAAUAACUUUUAUGAGUGUGUUUUAUGCUUUAUGCUUUCACAUGAUGGAUGUGUUGUCAUCCUCCUUUACUUAGGCUAUAAAAGAGACUGCAAGGGGAAGGAGGAAGACAACACAUCCAUCAUGUGAAAGCAUAAAGCAUAAAACACACUCAUAAAAGUUAUUCUCCACUUUCUUCCAUUAUAGAACACCUUUUGCCCCUUCAUAUGGCCAAAGUAGUCUUGCCUCUUCAAAAAAGGUAGAGAAAGUUAGGCCAAAAGAGCCACCAAACUCAUGAUAGACAACCCAUCCCCCAUGUUGCAAGCUUUAAAGAGAUAAAACUCACUCAUUAAAGUUUUCUUCACUUUCUCCAUGUUGCACACACCUUUAGAAUACCAAAAAUAAGAAGAAUAAUGAAUAGUAAUGAGUUUUAUAGGUUUUAAGUGAAUAAAAAUAGUCUAAAGGCUUAAAAUUCGAAGGCUAUUGUUGAUGUUGCUAGGGUGGCCGCCAGGAAUGUCAUACUGAUAUGUGUGUAGCAUUUUGAUCAUAAAUCCCUCAAUACAGCUCCAAACGACUCGAAACCACCUCCAUUGUAAAGCUAACUCAAUUUACCAUGUCUUCCCAAAAGACAAGUUUCAAAAGAUAUCUUUAAGCCUUCAUCCAUCCUUGUCUUUCACACGUUCGGUUCAAGACUCCUCGAAAGCUCCUUUUGUGCUCUAAUCACCUCCAAAACUCCAAAAAAUUCAUCCAACACCUACAAGAUGCAAAUGUACAUGCAAUAGACUCUAAAUGCAAAUAAAUGUAAGGUUAAUGCAUGAAUAUAUAUGAAAUAACAAAGCUAAAACUAUGCAAAAUCACAACACAUCACUUUUGCUAUACCAAAGUGUGUUCCUUUAGAUUUACAAGUAACAAGAACAAUGAGUUGAUCUUGAUUGUGUUUUUUGGAUCUAUAUUUUAAAGGAUUUAAGCUAUAGUUUAUGUAUGAAAUUUAAUUUUCAGGGACUUCAAAUCAGAACUAACCAGCUUAAAAUCAAAAAUGUGUCUCAGAUCCCAGCCUCCAUGGAGGAAGAAGAUUACCCUGGAUUACGCCACUCAAUACUACAUGUCUCCCGACCUCAACCCCAGCUCUCCUGUCCACAUCACCCAUAACAGCAGCCUCCACAUCCACUUCCCCAACCCCCUUGCUUUUUGCUGGUAACAACAUCCACAUGUGUCCCUUGUCCACAACACCACCAUCCACUCCUCGCAAGUUCAAGACAACCACAUCCACACACCCCAUCUGUCCACAAUACCCAAGCAAUACACACAUAGUGAUCUUGCCCCUCACAUGUCUGGACAUCCACAAAACCAUAAUCUGUCAUUCUCACCAUGCACCUCAGCUAUCCUGAUGAUUAACAGUCUCUUUUACAUCAUGCUCUCUUUGGUAAUCUCUGUGUCCACAUCUACGCAAAACACUUUUUCAUGGAUCGAUUCGAGAUCUUGCAGUGGUUGAAUCUGAAUUCUAUUUAGCUGAUUGAGGGAGAGCUUGCUACUUUCAAGUCCAUGACUUGGUUUGCCAAACCCCAGGAGAGGGUGGUUGAAUGAUUACAUCUUUACUUCUCAGCCCCGUCUUCUGGUCAAAGCAACAGGGUACGGUUUGCUUCUUACUCUAGAGAUCGUGAUCAUGGGACUGGCAGUUCUAUUCAGGAUCAACAGUGUAAAACAGCAGACAACAACGGUGGUGUUACAGAAAAUUGCGAUCAAGACAUGAAUGGUUGAUGUAAGAGAAAAGGCUGAUGGAGUAGGAAACUCAACUGAUUUAGACAUUUAUACCACAGCACAAACCAAAGACAAAAAACUGAUGGUAGUAAGAUGAAAUCUUCCUGAAAACAACAAACUGAAGGAUUCAACUCCAGAUACAGGUAAGGUCAAACAAACAGAUGGAGUUUGAUCCAGUUAAGCAGCAUAGGCAUUUUUGUCCCUGGAUCUGGUCGACGAGUAGAAAAGGCCCUGGAUGGAGGCAGACUCUAUCUGCAUUACAACGCCAUAAGGGAUCUUGUCAGACUCCACUAUCACCCUCUUCCGUUCUCAAGGUAGAUGAUCCUUUAAUAUCUGUUCGGAACUUUAUGCAUGACUUCUCGCUGAGGCACAGAAGAUUUUGUUACUGAAAAGACUUGAGUGCAAUGUAAAACUUGAAAAACUGUUAACAUUCAUGUUGUUCUGAGUUAUUUGUUGAUUUCUCAAAAAUUAAAACCUAUGUUGUCUAACCCAUUUGAAAUUCCUGGAGCUUAAAAUCAUGUGUAGAUACACUCAUAACUUCAUUCGUAACAUUGCUCUUGUAAGUCUAGUAUCAAUUUUGGGUUGCAAUGAUCCCUGAGAAAGUUCAGGUGCAUAACAUAAAAAAAGAAACAGUUUCGGAUCA